Long non-coding RNA from Alexandromys fortis (reed vole), 1610 nucleotides. RefSeq lists it as uncharacterized. The record is from RefSeq and is a predicted model, not a curated record. The transcript has 2 exons. Lineage: Eukaryota; Metazoa; Chordata; Mammalia; Rodentia; Cricetidae.
UGAAAGAAAAAAUGUAUACAUAUAAUUUUCCAGUUUUGAAUCACAAAAACUUAUUACAUAGUUCUAGGACAUUAAUUUUUUUUUUUGAGACAGGGUUUUUCUGUAGCUUUGGAACUAGUUCUUGAAGACCAGGCUGGCCUUGAACUCACAGAGAUCCGACUGGCUCUGCCUCCCAAGUGCUGGGAUUAAAGGUAUGCAGCACUACCGCCUGGUUUAGAACAUUAAUUUCAACAAACAACAUAAUUUAACAUAUGCUUUUCAAAAGUAACACUGUCAUGGCACAAAUGUAAACAUCACAAGCAAACCCUGGGCAUAAGUAACGGAUAUGAAACUCAGUAGGAAACUAUAAAGAGAAACGCGCUAACAGUGUGUCAUACACUUCUAUAUUCCUAAAGGGUCCUUAAAGGCAGACGACAAACCCACUUCAGUUUGUGAAGGCUAUAAAUAGAUUAACUCUUGUCAGACCAACUCUUCAGAGGCAACAGUGUGAAGGGCUUAGUGAGACCACAGAAGUCAACUCCUCAGAGGCAGGGGACAACGACUCCAGACAAGAAGAUUCUAGAGAUGACUUGAGCUGAGGAGGGAAACAUUAGGUGGCUCUUGGUCUAAAAGGAGGCCAUAACUGCUGCUACCCAAAGCAGGCAGACCCCUAACAGAAAUCCUGCAGUUGAUUAUCUCGCCUGAAGAACAGAGCAGUGUUUAGGGCAACAAGUGAGGGAGAAAUCUGAGAAAGCAGCGUGUGGCAGAUGCUGUGCACACUUAUCCUGAAUCCACUCCUACAUGGGAAAGACUUAGAUCUGAGCUGCUACUGAAGAAACAGUUUAUGGGGGGAUCUCAUUGAGCCCUGAAAUCAUAAGCACACAAGUAACAUCAUACAGACUGAACCAUUUGUGUUUAGAAGAGAAUGAACAUGUAUGUAUGUAUGUAUGUAUGUUGCAACAAUGAAAGAGGUCAGAGGCCAUGCAUCUAAGAAAGAGCCAAGGGGGUGGGUUGAGAUGCAUGGAGGGAUAAAGGGAGGAAAGAUGUAAAGUGAGUAUAGCCAAAUAACUGCUUAAUGAAUCCCUAAGUCAGCACUCUCUAGAGAAACGGCAUUCAUUCAUCAACCCACAAAUCUAUGAAUCUCAGAAAGCAAAGUAAUAAGAAAAUUCAACAUGUUUUAACGAGUCACAACUUACAAUGUUAAUAAAAGCAUCAAUAAUUACCAUUGGUGAAGUAGAAGAAAAUAGGCUCACAAAAAUUAUAUAUAUGUAUGCAGAGAAAAACUAAAGAAGAAAGAACCCAAACAAAAAUUCUGGAUUGCUAACUACCUUAAAGAGAACAGAAGAAGAAGAAGAAUUUAGGAUUUAUUAAAAUGGGGAGAGAGAAAACAAAUGGUUUACUCUGAAUACAUGCUUUAUAUAUUGGCCCAGAAACUGCUAAGGAUUCUGUUUCUUAAUGACGAGACACAUCAUGAAAUGCAACAUUAGCAGAGGGGAGAGGAAAAGUGAGUUCAAGGCUAGCCUGGGCUACAUAAGACCCUGUCUCAAAAGACAAUAAAACCAAUGCAGUAAUAGAUAGAGCUAAGAGGAGAAAGAAUUCAAUAAUUCUAAUUAGCUUUUUUUUUUUUUUUU